Long non-coding RNA from Gallus gallus (chicken), 496 nucleotides. The record is from Ensembl. Lineage: Eukaryota; Metazoa; Chordata; Aves; Galliformes; Phasianidae.
GGGGAAGAGCCUGAAUGGGGAGGUAGAGCAGACAGCUAAAGUGGCUGCUGAGCACAGGAGGGGAGAAGCCUUUUGCUGGGCCAAGAAGAGGAGAACUGCCUCAGGGACAGCGGAGAUCAAGGAGUGGACUGCAAGAUACACUCAGGAACAAUUAUAGCAGACCAGGCUGUAGGCAGCACAUGAUGGAUGGAUGGGCUGAGACAGCGAGAUCGCAUAAGCUGCAUUCCCCUGGGAAACCAGACUGAAAACACAUAAGCAGAGGGGCAGUCUGACAACAAGGCAUCUGACAUGGAAGUGUGGAUGAAGCAAAGGUGUGUCACUGAAUUCCUCCAUGUGGAAAAGAUGGCACCCACUGACAUUCACUGAAGCUUGAUGUAUGUUUAUGGAGACCAAACGCUUUCAAACUCAACGUCUUGACUGAGAGUCUAAAAUCACCUUCCUGGCAUCAGAGUGCUCUUCAGGGCAUCAGGCAGCUGAGUCUAUGAUUAGAGCAAGG